RNAcentral lists this long non-coding RNA (1429 nucleotides) under Homo sapiens (human). RNAcentral describes it as "HSALNT0037256". The record is from RNAcentral. Lineage: Eukaryota; Metazoa; Chordata; Mammalia; Primates; Hominidae.
GAAAGAUAGACACCCGCCCCCCCACACACACAACGUAUUUCUUCAAUCAGUUUCAUUUCCAUACCAUAGGUUUUAUGCUUAGGGGAAAUCUCAUUUCUUCCAGAUAACCCUGGGCUUUUCAAGCCUCUAGUCUAAAUUGCUUCUGUGAGGAUUCAUUUAUCUCUUUUUCCAUAACCUGAGUUUUGAACUUCUUGUCCGUUUUCUCCUCCCAGUGCUUUCUUUUCCUUUUAGCCUGGGAAUGGAGUUUUAAAGCUGAGAGUCUAGGUGGACCGCAGGGGAGUCCUGCACAGCACCGCCUCCACCCCACGCAUGGCAGGGAGACCUCGCUCUCUCCGCGGGCCCUAGAGGUGCUGCGCUGCUCGCGGCCGGCAGGAGGAAGCGGGCCUCCCUGCUGUUGCCUAGGAUAUGUCCCGAGGUGCCUCCCAUCGGACAUCUUACGUGGGUGUUUUUGCUGAUGCGUUUUUGAAGCUCAGUUAGGUCAAGGAAGUGCCUAUCUGUGAUUGAGCUUGGGAAGCACUCAGGACAUAUCUGGCAUUUUUCUGGCUCAUAACCAAACAAAUCACAGCGCCCCUCCACCACAAAAAAAAAAAAAAAAAAAAGAAAAAAAAAAGAAACAAAUGCCUUGGCUUGUAUGUAUGGAGUAAACGGACCAAAGUGGGGUCAGAUAUCUGCUUCUGUGAGUUCGUUCAAGUGGGGAGAAUCCUCCUAACUGCAAGUGGGGCUUGAGCAGAUGCCCGUGCCCGGCUGAUUCUCCUACAUGGAAAACUUCCAAUUUCGCUCGGAUUCAGGCUGCUUCUGGAGCUAGUCUCCCAGCUGGGGGAAGUGAGCGGAUGCUGCCAUCUAGAGUCAGGAUGAGAUGAUCAGUGCGGAUACUUUCCCUGCCCACACUAGAAGACCAUUGGCCAUGCCCAUGGCAAGGAAUAGAGUGGAGGGAAGUCCCAGGGCGUCAGGCUCCGGCUCCACUUCUCUGCAAUGCUCCUGGCAGGUCCUGCAUGCCUCCUGUGACUGCUGUACCUCAGGUUCCCUCCUUUCCUGGUGUCAAAACUGUGGCCUCAGGUAUGCACUCCCAUCAAACAUAGCACAAUCCACAAAGAGGCUAUGUCUUUCCAUCAGUGCUUUUCAAGAAUUAGGAGGCUUCUUUAAAACAGCACCUCACCUGUCAUGGCCCAAGUGCGUCAGGUGCCUGUGCGUGGAAACACAGAAGCUGGAAGAGGCCUUGGCGGGCUUAGGAUGGAGCGAACCUCAGCUCUUCAAAGGCAGGGAUGCCUUAGGCAUCUAAGGCAGAUCUGUUAACAGAAUAGUCAGUCCUCAGGUUAGCUGUCGGACACCUUUUAAGUAAGAAGGGCCCACUGAUGUGGUGGCAGUGAGAGGUGACAGCAGCCUAGCAGCCCUCGCUCACUCUCAGCGCCUCCUGGGCCUCGGUGCCCAC